RNAcentral lists this ribosomal RNA (314 nucleotides) under Actinomycetota bacterium. RNAcentral describes it as "Actinobacteria bacterium partial 23S ribosomal RNA". It matches the Rfam family "Bacterial large subunit ribosomal RNA", at positions 2612 to 2925 of the family's 2925-position model. Lineage: Bacteria; Bacillati; Actinomycetota. The record is from RNAcentral.
CAGAACGUCGUGAGACAGUUCGGUCUCUAUCCUCCGCAGCCGAAGGAACAUUGACGAAGGCUGUCCCUAGUACGAGAGGACCGGGACGGACGUAGCUCUGGUGUGCCAGUUGUCCUGCCAAGGGCAUGGCUGGUUAGCCACCUACGGAAGGGAUAACCGCUGAAAGCAUCUAAGCGGGAAGCCCGUUCGAAGAUAAGUGUUCCCAUGCGGUUAGCGCAGUAAGGCCCGUGGCGAGACCACCACGUUGAUAGGCCGGAAGUGUAAGCGUAGUAAUACGUUCAGCUGACCGGUACUAAUCGGCCGAGGGCUUGGUU